This 3735-nucleotide long non-coding RNA is filed under the name Mytilus galloprovincialis (Mediterranean mussel). Lineage: Eukaryota; Metazoa; Mollusca; Bivalvia; Mytilida; Mytilidae. The record is from RNAcentral.
CGCCUUUUCUUUUUUUCUAGCAGGGCGCGACGCAGAUUGAGGAUUCCCAGGUAUGUUUUCUGUUAAGACCUUUGUGUAUGUCUAAUUGGCCUUUUCUUUUUUCUGGCAGGGCGCGACGCAGAUUGAGGAUUCCCAGGUAUGUUUUCUGUUAAGACCUUUGUGUAUGUCUAAUUGCGCCUUUUCUUUUUUUCUAGCAGGGCGCGACGCAGAUUGAGGAUUUCAGGUAUGUUUUCUGUUAAGACCUUUGUGUAUGUCUAAUGUUGCCUUUUCUUUUUUUCUGGCAGGGCGCGACGCAGAUUGAGGAUUUUCAGGUAUGUUAUCUGUUAAGACCUUGGUGUACGUCUAAUGUUGCCUUUUCUUUUUUUCUGGCAGGGCGCGACACAGAUUGGAGAUUCGCAGGUAUGUUUUCCGUUAAGGCCUUUGUGUAUGUCUAAUGUCGCCUUUUCCUUUUUUCUAGCAGGGCGAGACGCAGAUUGAGGAUUUUCAGGUAUGUUUUCUGGUAAGGCCUUUGUGUAUGUCUAAUGUCGCCUUUUCUUUUUUUCUAGCAGGGCGCGACGCAGAUUGAGGAUUUUCAGGUAUGUUUUCUGUUAAGACCUUUGUGUAUGUUUAAUGUUGCCUUUUCUUUUUUUCUGGCAGGGCACGACGCAGAUUGAGGAUUUUCAGGUAUGUUUUCUGUUAAGGUUUUUGUGUAUGUCUAAUGUCGCCUUUUCUUUUUCUGGCAGGGCGCGACGCAGAUUAAGGAAUUCCAGGUAUGUUUUCUGUUAAGAUCUUUGUGUAUGUCUAAUGUUGUCUUUUCUUUUUUUCUGGCAGGGCGCGACGCAGAUUGGAGAUUCGCAGGUAUGUUUUCUGUUAAGACCUUUGUGUAUGUCUAAAGUUGCUUUUCUUUUUUUCUAGCAGGGCGCGACGCAGAUUGAGGAUUCCAGGUAUGUUUUCUGUUAAGACCUUUGUGUAUGUCUAAUGGUUUCUUUUUUUUUUCCUUUAGGUCGUGUGGCCUUUUUUUUUUUUUGCAGGGCGCGCGACGCAGAUUGAGGAUUCCAGGUAUGUUUUUCUGUUAAGACCUUUGUGUAUGUCUAAUGUGCGCCUUUUCUUUUUUUCUAGCAGGGCGCGACGCAGAUUGAGGAUUCCAGGUAUGUUUUCUGUUAAGACCUUUGUGUAUGUCUAAUGUUGUCUUUUCUUUUUUUCUAGCAGGUCGCGACGCAGAUUGAGGAAUUCCAGGUAUGUUUUCUGUUAAGACCUUUGUGUAUGUCUAAUGUUGUCUUUUCUUUUUUUUCUAGCAGGGCGCGACGCAGAUUGAGGAUUUUCAGGUAUGUUUUCUGUUAAGACCUUUGUGAAUGUCUAAUUUCGCCUUUUCUUUUUUUCUAGCAGGGCGUGACGCAGAUUGAGGAUUUUCAGGUAUGUUUUCUGUUAAGACCUUUGUGUAUGUCUAAUGUUGCCUUUUCUUUUUUUCUAGCAGGGCGCGACGCAGAUUGAGGAUUUCAGGUAUGUUUUCUGUUAAGACCUUUGUGUAUGUCUAAUGGUUCUUUUUUUUUCCUUUAGGUCGUGUGGCCUUUUUUUUUUUUUUAGCAGGGCGUGACGCAGAUUGAGGAUUCCCAGGUAUGUUUUCUGUUAAGACCUUUGUGUAUGUCUAAUGUUGUCUUUUCUUUUUUUUCUGGCAGGGCGCAUCGCAGAUUGGAGAUUUUCCAGGUAUGUUUUCUGUUAAGACCUUUGUGUAUGUCUAAUGUUGCGCCUUUUUCUUUUUUUCUAGCAGGGCGCGACGCAGAUUGAGGAUUCCCAGGUAUGUUUUCUGUUAAGACCUUUGUGUAUGUCUAAUGUUCGCCUUUUCUUUUUUUCUAGCAGGGCGCGACGCAGAUUGAGGAUUCCAGGUAUGUUUUCUGUUAAGACCUUUGUGUAUGUCUAAUUUCGCCUUUUCUUUUUUUCUAGCAGGGCGCGACGCAGAUUGAGGAUUCCCAGGUAUGUUUUCUGUUAAGACCUUUGUGUAUGUCUAAUGUUGUCUUUUCUUUUUUUCUAGCAGGGCGCGACACAGAUUGAGGAUUUAGGUAUGUUUUCUGUUAAGACCUUUGUGUAUGUCUAAUGGUUCCUUUUUUUUUCCUUUAGGUCGUGUGGACUUUUUUUUUUUUUUGCAGGGCGCGACGCAGAUUGAGGAUUUAGGUAUGUUUUCUGUUAAGACCUUUGUGUAUGUCUAAUGUUGUCUUUUCUUUUUUUCUAGCAGGGCGCGACACAGAUUGAGGAUUUUCAGGUAUGUUUUCUGUUAAGACCUUUGUGUAUGUCUAAUGUUGCCUUUUCUUUUUUUCUAGCAGGGUGCGUUGCAGAUUGAAGAUUUUCAGGUAUGUUUUCUGUUAAGGCCUUUGUGUUUGUCUAAUGGUUCCUUUUUUUUUCCUUUAGGUCGUGUGGCCUAUGCUACAUUUGCUGGUAUGUUUUUUGUUAAGGCCUAUGUGUAUGUUUAAUGUUGCCUUUUCUUUUUUUCUGGAAGAGCACGACGCAGAUUGAAGAUUCGCAGGUAUGUUUUCUGUUAAGACCUUUGUGUAUGUCUAAUGUUGUGUUUUCUUUUUUUCUAGCAGGGCGCGACGCAGAUUGAGGAUUUCAGGUAUGUUUUCUGUUAAGACCUUUGUGUAUGUCUAAUGUUGUCUUUUCUUUUUUUCUAGCAGGGCGCGACGCAGAUUGAGGAAUUCCAGGUAUGUUUUCUGUUAAGACCUUUGUGUAUGUCUAAUGUUGCCUUUUCUUUUUUUCUGGCAGGGCGCGACGCAGAUUGAGAUUCGCAGGUAUGUUUUCUGUUAAGACCUUUGUGUAUGUCUAAUGGUUCUUUUUUUUUUCCUUUAGGUCGUGUGGCCUUUUUUUUUUUGCAGGGCGCGACGCAGAUUGAGGAUUUUCCAGGUAUGUUUUCUGUUAAGACCUUUGUGUAUGUCUAAUGUUGCCUUUUCUUUUUUUCUGGCAGGGCGCGACGCAGAUUGAGGAUUUUCAGGUAUGUUAUCUGUUAAGACCUUGGUGUACGUCUAAUGUUGCCUUUUCUUUUUUUCUGGCAGGGCGCGACACAGAUUGGAGAUUCGCAGGUAUGUUUUCCGUUAAGGCCUUUGUGUAUGUCUAAUGUCGCCUUUUCCUUUUUUCUAGCAGGGCGAGACGCAGAUUGAGGAUUUUCAGGUAUGUUUUCUGGUAAGGCCUUUGUGUAUGUCUAAUGUCGCCUUUUCUUUUUUUCUAGCAGGGCGCGACGCAGAUUGAGGAUUUUCAGGUAUGUUUUCUGUUAAGACCUUUGUGUAUGUUUAAUGUUGCCUUUUCUUUUUUUCUGGCAGGGCACGACGCAGAUUGAGGAUUUUCAGGUAUGUUUUCUGUUAAGGUUUUUGUGUAUGUCUAAUGUCGCCUUUUCUUUUUCUGGCAGGGCGCGACGCAGAUUAAGGAAUUCCCAGGUAUGUUUUCUGUUAAGACCUUUGUGUAUGUCUAAUGUUGUCCUUUUCUUUUUUUCUAGCAGGGCGCGACGCAGAUUGAGAUUCCAGGUAUGUUUUCUGUUAAGGCCUUUGUGUAUGUCUAAUGUCGCCUUUUCUUUUUUUCUAGCAGGGCGCGACGCAGAUUGAGGAAUUCAGGUAUGUUUUCUGUUAAGACCUUUGUGUAUGUCUAAUGGUUCUUUUUUUUUCCUUUAGGUCGUGUGGCCUUUUUUUUUUGCAGGGCGCGACGCAGAUUGAGGAUUCCCAGGUAUGUUUUCUGUUAAGACCUUUGUGUAUGUCUAAUUGUCGCCUUUUCUUUUUU